Long non-coding RNA from Lates calcarifer (barramundi perch), 2500 nucleotides. RefSeq lists it as uncharacterized. The transcript has 4 exons. Lineage: Eukaryota; Metazoa; Chordata; Actinopteri; Centropomidae. The record is from RefSeq and is a predicted model, not a curated record.
UUUGGACAAAGCUUAUGAAUCAGAGGAGGAUGGAGACUUCCUGUUGAAACAGGCGGCUCAACAUUCUGCAGCCUUAAGAAUGUGACACCACUGACUGUACCCAUACCAGAAGAGUGACACAAUCUUCAUGCAACGCAUAGUAUAGGUGACCAUUCCCCUGCAGGAGGAAGUUCCUUGGUUCUCACCUCUUCACCCUGUGGGAGAGGCUUCCUCUAGAGCUGUUAAGGGGGAGGCCUCGCCACCCUGCGUGUUCAAGGGAUUCCAACUAUGAUUCACUGAGCUUGCUUGCUCUCGAGCAAGUUCUCCUCUCCUCUCUCUGCCUGAGCCGAUCAACAUUUCACACUCCUCCUCCUCUUCCCCCUGAGUCAGAGAGCCGUCUUUUUUCUCAGUGGAAUUUCAGACACCAGUGCACAGAUUAAUUCUCUCACGCAGCGUGUCCCAGUCCCUGGAGUAUUACACCUAAGUGAAACGGAAUACCUGUGCACACGUGCAGCUUACAUACGGGCGGAGGAUUCAUCUUGAAAAGGAAAGCAGACGUGCUUUUGGCUUCAUCCCAUCAUCCCUGGGGGUCAUCUUCACAUCAGAGAAGGGCAUCCUCGACUCAGGCCAAGGGGAAGCACGAAGGAAGAGGAUGUGUGUAUACUGCUGUGUAUGUGUAUGUGUGUGUGUGCGUGUGUGUGUGUGUUUAUGCCUGCAAAAGCUCUUUAGUUCACAGUGCUGGGAACAGCUGCAGGCAGGACUUCCUGUUCUGCACAGGAAACAAAAUGGCGGAGAAUGGGAGGCCUGGAACAAUGCUGUGAAAGUCAGCCACCACCCAGGUUAGAAGCGAGGUGCUUGUGAAUCACAAGGCAGAAAGGUGAGCAGAGCACGUUCCAUUAGUGCUGCAGGAACCACAUGUUGGAAUAUCUUCCCUCCAAUGGCCUUUGUGAAGAAUUCAAAGAAGUCUCUUUCCAUAGCAGGUAUACAUGAAAGUAAAACUAUACAGAUCGCAUCUGAAUAUAAACUAAAACUCCUCUUCGCACUAGUUUUUAGGCAUUUUGUCAUUAAAUGUUGGAAAAAACAGUAUGUUCACCAAAUAACAUGAAAGUAAAAGUAACUGAUUUUUGAUUACUUUUGUAUUAUUUAGAUCCUCAUGUGCCAGUUAUAAUGCAGCAGCUGCCCUUGCUGAGGCACAAUAAAUACACGUUGAAAGUCAUGUAUUAUAGGACAAAAUUACAUACAUCCUGUUAUGUUGUCUGAAGCAUGUGGUACAUGUCUGUGUGUGUGAUUACUGUACAUUAAAGCAAAAACAAUGCUCAAGAAAACAAUACAAAGUAUUAACAGCCAGUUAUCAAUAUACAAUUAAAUGUGCCAAAAGUUGAGUGAACAUUCCAAUGAAAGCCAGGAUUCAUGUUAAAUUAUGUUUUGAUCAGGUAUCAGGUAUCAGGGUGUGCUUUCAUAGAUCUACUAGGCCACAUGACAGGGAACACCAUUUUCCAGCCCUGACCUAAUGUACCUUUAGCGUUACUUUUAAGCUGCUUUUAACUCCUGCUGUCACCCAAGCAAAGAGCAGAUACUCGGCAGCUUGAUGCAGCCUACAUUAUAUCUGCUUAGGUUAAGCUGCCGUGGCCGUACCCAGUGGCUUGUUAGGCAGUUUCAUCUGAAUUAAGCAGUCCAGCUAUUAGGCAGCAAAAUAAUACAGAAAACAAUCACACACUCACAGUUUCCUUUCACAGUCACUUUGUGUCAGAGAAUUUAGGCUCUCUGCCAAAAAGACCUUUGUCAUGAGCAUUCUCACGUUUCAAAACUGAUGAGAAUAGCAAGGAGGAUGGAAGUUUAUAGCUACAUCUUUGUUUUCAGGAUGUUACACAGGCACUAUAUUUAGUCUGUUAGAGAUAUAAUAAUCUGCUUUGUGCCUGUUUUGUAUCUUUUGUGGUUACAGAACUGUCUCUCCUAUCUGCCAUUUUCCUCUGGCUAGAGCCUCGUUCUCAAAUAACUGACAUUAAUAGUAACUGGGAAUGAGUUACAGCAUUUGAGUGCCGAAUUUGAAGCAUAAUUAUACCUCUUUAUUUCCAGUGGUGCAUUAGUGAUGGAGGAAGAGAUGGAAGCAGUGAGGAAUUUUAGACAAUGGCAAUAUAUAGGCCAAGUUACAGCACAGCUUUAAAAAAAAAACUGAGCCAUUACAUUAUGUAACAAUAAAUAGUACUCCACCAGAGAUUUCCAUGCACUUUUUUCCUUUUCCAAUCUCACCACCUACAGUCUCCUGAUAAUGCCCUCAAAAAUAGAGGUGUGAUAAAAGCAGGAUUAGAAAACUCUUGGGGAGAACACACAUUUUGAACACUGUAUCUAACUUCAAAGACUCCAUUCUUGAGAGUUAUCAAUGGGUUGCCACUUGCUGGAUAUAUUGUAUAUUGUGUUAGCCUUUUUGAUAGUGUCUCUUGGUUUGCUACAGUCUAAAGAAUUCAGAGAGACUUAGGUGGUUGUAUUCUCACACAUAUGGAGCCAUUGUCCCAGGAGCCAA